This is a non-coding RNA of Pelobates cultripes (western spadefoot toad), 463 nucleotides long. The record is from the annotation of a GenBank genome assembly. Lineage: Eukaryota; Metazoa; Chordata; Amphibia; Anura; Pelobatidae.
GUAAAGGAGUUUAAGCAUGCAUGGGAUAGGCAUAAGGCUAUCCUAACCAUAAGAUAAGGCUAGGGACUAAUGAAAGUUUUUAGAAAAUUGGGCAGACUAGAUGGGCCGAAUGGUUCUUAUCUGCCGUCACAUUCUAUGUUUCUAUGUUUCUAUGUUUCUAUGUUUCUAUAUCAACUUUCGAUUCCAGUUUCUGCGCCUACCAUGGUGACUACGGGUAACGGUGAAUCAGGGUUCCAUUCCGUACAGGGACCCUGAGAAAUGGCUACCACAUGCAAGGAAGGCAGCAGGCGCGCAAAUGACCCACUCCCGACGCAGGAAGGUAGUGACGACAAAUAACAAUACAGGACUCUUUAGAGGCCCUGUAAAUGUAAUGAGUCCACUUGAAAUCCUUUAACUCUGAUCAAUUGGAGGGAAGUCUGGUGCAGAGCCACUGACCUGUGCGUGCUGCAGUUGAAACUCCACU